Molecule: small nuclear RNA, 176 nt
Filed under: Helianthus annuus (common sunflower)
Lineage: Eukaryota; Viridiplantae; Streptophyta; Magnoliopsida; Asterales; Asteraceae
Description: U2 spliceosomal RNA
Rfam family: U2 spliceosomal RNA
About the family: U2 is a small nuclear RNA (snRNA) component of the spliceosome (involved in pre-mRNA splicing).
Source: RNAcentral
AGAGAAUGCCAUGUGGCAUUAUUUGGAGUCUUUUAUUAUAAGUUAGAUGUGAGCCAUUGGCUCACUCGAUAUUAAUCUUAUUUUUAAUGGGAAAAGGUCCAUCACAAUAGCUUGCUAUUGGGGCUUUUGAGCGUCGCCUUGGCGUUGCACUACUGCCUUGGCUUGGCGCAUCCCUC